GGGUUCCUCACUGCGUCCUCGUUAUACCCAUGGGGAACAAAGUCACAAAGAGAGGAGGGUAAAGUUACUGCUGCUCCGUCUGCUGCUACCAUAUAGCGACUACGGUCUAUUUCUCUCUCCUUUUGAAGACCGGAGCGGAUGCAAAUCGAGUGAGCACAUUUCCUGUGAAACACCCCCGGCGUCCCUGAGUCUGCAGAGGAGACGGCACAGACACGUGUCUCCGCAGCUCACACCCAUCCCCGUUUCUCUGCGUCCUCUCCUGCAGAAUUGUCUCCAAAAUCGUCAGAAAAGAGAUGAUGCUGUGGCUACCCCUCGCUUUCAUGGCAGCAAUUCCCAGAGGAGUCCAUUCGCAGAUUCAGCUGGUGGAGUCUGGGGGAGGUGUUAAAACCACAGGAGAUUCUACCCGCAUCUCCUGUAAAGCCUCCGAAUUUCCCUUUGGAAACUAUUGGAUUUUCUGGUACCGCCAGCCUCCCGGGAAAGCGCCAGAGUGGAUCUCCUACAUUAACCCCGGUAGUACUAAAGCGGACUAUGGCCAUUCAGUGAAAGGGCGAUUCACCAUCUCCAGAGACAACCCCAGCAACCUGCUCUAUUUGCAAAUGACCGGCCUGAGACCCGAGGACACGGCGGUGUAUCACUGUGUGAGAGACACAGUGACGGGCAGGGAAUCUAAGCACGUACAAAAACAUCCCCUUUGCAGUUACAGCCCGCCGCGGGGCACAGCCCAGGGGAAGGGUCAGACACACACAGAACUGAACCAAGGAGAAAAUGUCCCCAGCGCUGCCAGCAGCGCGGGACGGACAAGACUUUUUUGGGGCUGCAGAGUCAGGUCAGGGCUGGGGUAGCAAAUAUGAGGCAGCCUCUGUCCCAGUCCCUGCCCCUAGGGGGCAGC
Molecule: non-coding RNA, 889 nt
Organism: Chelonia mydas (Green sea turtle)
Lineage: Eukaryota; Metazoa; Chordata; Testudines; Cheloniidae
Source: the annotation of a RefSeq genome assembly